Molecule: long non-coding RNA, 6544 nt
Organism: Phycodurus eques (leafy seadragon)
Lineage: Eukaryota; Metazoa; Chordata; Actinopteri; Syngnathiformes; Syngnathidae
Exons: 3
Source: RefSeq, a predicted model, not a curated record
CGGCCGACGGUCCACCUUAGGUAUCGCCGCCACAGUGGGCCGGCCGCCAUGUUUGCCAUGGCAAAGGGGGGCGGGGCUGCGUGCGACUCGGAAGCGGAAGUUGGCUUGUCGUCGUCAGAUCUCAAACAUCUGCGGAGGAGAACGAGUUUCCAAUUGGACUUGCGAGCUUCCUGUUCUCUCACCAAGCCCCCAUCCCCAUCCCCAUUUACGGACCACAGAUGCCACAGCUGCUUUCAAUCUGGACAGGCUACAGAAACAAGGCCUGACUUUUACCUUCUUUCUGACUCGCAGGCGAUCAUGUGAUCAGUUGAAGAGGAAGAACUGAAUUAUUGUCCAGGUGUCCACUCUCCAGAAAUGGAAGCCACAUAUGUAAGUCUCCAUCCAGUCUUAACUGUAAAGUUUUGAGCAAGUCCCAAGUUAGUGUGGCAAAGCUGACUCUAUUAUUGUCUUUUCAAGUAAACGUAUUAGCGACAUUCAGGUUAGUUCAUAUUUGACCAGCUAUCGGUGAGCUAAACUGUGACGUUAAAGUGGGACUUUGCAAUUUAAAGAAAAAAAAACAAAACAACACUUUUUGAUCAUUUUCUGAAUUAAUAACAUUUCUGCUCAACGCGUUUAAUUAUCACCUCUAUUUGACAAAUGGCAAACUAUCUUGAAAAAAAAGCAGAUUUUCACUGUCGUUAAAGUCAAGUGAAGUCUUUCCUCAGUUUUAGCCAAGCUAAUCCAAAACCCAGAAAUUGGUAACAUACAUCUACUGGGAGUCAAGUCAUGUGACUGGAGUCCCCCUCCUCAGCCCCUCUGCACAAUUUUUGACUGCCUUCUAAUUGCGUCCACAUGUCGGGAUGAGUGACGUCUGCAAUUAUGACUCGGAAAAUAAGAGUCGGGAGGAACCGCUGCAUCACCGUUUCGUUGUCAAAAAGAUACAGGUUCUUUGGCCAUGAAAACAUACACGUGAGAUGUUAAAAACAAUGCGCACAAAGUCAACCUGAAAGUAGAGGAAGCGUAUUUCCAUAUUCCCUUAAUGCUUCGUUCAACAGCACAAAGUAUAAAUAUGAACACGUACAAAAAGGAGGAACUAGAAAGGCUCUUGGUAGAGCGCAGACCUCCGUCAAGGUCAAACAAGACUGAAUUGUUCAUUGAUACACACCUCUUUUAUAUGCAUGAAUUUUUAUAAAAUCCAUGCAAUAUUAACUGCGAAAAUUAAGACAAAUGAUGGGGGAAAAAACAUUGAAUACUUUCUUGACACAGCCCUUAAGUUUUGUUUACUAUGUUAACAAACAAAAACAAAACAAUGAAAUGACAAAACCUGUUUUUAAAAUGUUUACUACAUUCCAUGAAUAUAAAUUGUCUUUAUGGCAUUAUUUAAAGCACCUUUUACUUUGUACCACACAAAUACAUUCUGUUUAAUAUGUGCUGGAAUGAAAGUAUAAUCAUAUGCGUAUAAGUAAGAAUGACCUUUUAAAAUGAGCAAACAAACAUAGAUCAUUAAUCAAUACAUGUACAACACUUGCAUUAUUCCAUACCUUGCAAAACACACACACACACACACACACACGGACAAAAACACUCACACACACAAACACACCAACAUGCACUCCAGAAAACAAUUUGGUCACUGCUCAACCAGCCGAAGUUCGCCGAGUAAAAGCAGUACUUCACAGUAACACAAAAAAAAACUACAACAUGACAUCAUCCGCAAACGUUGAAUGGAGGCAACUGGACUAUUGUUUGUUGAAAACCUUUCACCUGUAAUCCAAAAGGCUCCUUCAGUUUGAAAUAAUAUUAUUAUGUUUUGGCGGUAGCCAGCGGGGCGGCACGGUUGGCGACGGGUUUGAGCGUCUGCCUCACAGUUCUGAGGACCGGGUUCAAUCCCCGGGCCCCGCCUGUGUGGAGUUUGCAUGUUCUCCCCGUGCCUGCGUGGGUUUUCUCCGGGCACUCCGGUUUCCUCCCACAUCUCAAAAACAUGUGUGGUAGGUUAAUUGAUGACUCUGAAUUGCCCGUAGGUGUGAAUAUGAGUGUGAAUGGUUGUUUGUUUGUGUGUGCGCUGCGACUGGCUGGCAACCGGUUCCGGGUGUACCCCGUCUCCUGCCCCGAUGAUAGCUGGGAUAGGCUCCGGCAUACCCGCGCCCCUAUUGAGGAGAAGCGGCUCAGUAAAUGGAUGGAUGGUACCCAGCAGUGUUGUCGACGAGGACACCCAGACUCUUAACCUAAGCAGAGGGAAAAAGCUACAAUUGCUCAGAGGGAAACUGUUCAUCUUGGCAAGUGUGGAUUUAGACACGAUUCAGUUUUGUCGCAGUUAAUUUUGAGAACGUUUGCAUGAAACCAGAGGGGCGGGGAGAAGAUUUGGGUUUGCUGGAGAGUCAGAGCUGGGUGUCAUCCGCAUAGCAGUGAAAUUGGAUGUUAUAUUUGCGGAAGAUAUUGCUGAUUGGGAUAACUGUUAUUUUCCUUUGUUUAACAGUGUCAGGCGAUUGAGAACAGUUUCUCAUUUAUAAUGCAGUGUCUUGUCCACGGACACUUCUACAGAGGACAAUCAGAGCCAAGAUUCAAACCGCCGACCCUCUGGUCAGUGGACGAGCCUGCUCUACCAACUGAGCUGUAGCCGCCCAAUAGAUAGAAGUAUGUGAUGAAGAGUAGGGGCCCCAAGACAGAGCCCUGGGGACCACCUGUGGUGAGUGGGGACAGCUGGGAAGGGAUUGAUUUAAGCUGAAUCAACUGAGUCUACAAAUCUCAGGCGUGGAGUUCCUUUGGAGACAUGACGAGGUUAAAAGAGAACUAAAGAACCCUCUUCGAUUAAAGGUGAACAAACAACAAGAGUCCCGUUGCGUCCCUUUAACUCUUGCGCAUUACUUGGACCUUAAUAACUGACAUUCUACACUGACAUACAGUAUAACAUCCUCGUCAGACUUGUAAGCCAACUUUGUGGGGAAAAUAAUUAAGUGUCUCUGAGCUCACGUGGCGACCCAAAGAAUGGAGAUAUUGCUGCCGCCCACGUGCGAGAUCUGGUUGAUGCGUCCGCGGAUGCAGUCCAGGGUGACAUAGACGGCGGUGCCAUUGUGGACUCGGAAGGAGGCUCUCAGGCCCACGCUGGCCCACUGGCUGCCCUGUGGCAUGUGUCCGGAAACCUGCUGAGCCACGGGAGUGGCCGGCCCACCCGGACCGCCGGCCCGCUGGAGAGUCACCUUAACAACGUUACACGAGUGGAUGAGCCUCAGGUUCAGGGCGAUGUUGGCAGUGCCCUCUUCCAGGAACACAAAGUUAUUGCGGCUGUUUGGCUCUCCCGAGCGAGCCAGGCGGACCUGCUGCGAGUCCGGAGAGAUCUGCUGGAAGGCGAGCAGCUUGUUGCGGACCGCACCGAGUGGGAGGCCCACCUCGGCCACGGUGGCGGUCAACGUGGACGAGACGGCCGAGGGGAUCCAGAUCAGGCUGAGAGUGCUGAUGCCGGUGCCGUCUCCGAAAUAACGAACGUUGCACUGUGAUGGCGACGUGAUCUCGAAGCUGAGCGUGUCGCCGCCGCCCACGGCCACGGAUCCCGCCAGCGUCACAGAGGUGUCCCUGUAGUUGACGCCCGUCUUGAAGGCCCUUGUGGCCUCCUGGCCCGUGCCAUUGUGGCUGGUGUAGGCGAUCAGGAAGAAGCCCUCACGGACGCAAGUGUGCCCCAUAGCGUAGAGCGCCUGUUGGAGGUUGAACUUGACCACACCAUUCUCCGUGAAUCGCACGCCACGGUUGUCAUGCGUCAAGCCGAUCACGUAAGGGUCGGACACCGACGUCACACGGAACGUCGGGCGGUAGCUGGACUGGUAGUGUACCAGCAGGGACAUUUCGGCAGUCAUGGCCACGGCGCCCGUGUCAUGCGACAACCACAGCAGGCUCAAGGUAGGCGUGGCAAUGUCGUAGACGUGGAGGUCCUUGCUCUGGUUGCAGUGCUGGUUGGGGCUCCUAAGGAGAAGACUCACGGUGUCGUUAGGCUCCACCUCUACCCCGCCACUGACGCUCACGGCCUGGAAGUACUUCCCGUCAGGCUGCUCCACGCGUACUCCACUGAGCUCCUGACUUUCCUCCUGCUGGCUGGCGUUGAACCUCAAGCCCACCUGGAGGAAGUUCCUGCAGCUGUGCUCGAUGGCCACAUUGUAGUCCAGCCACAGCAGCCCGUGCUGCACGAACGUCACCGGGCCACCCUCGCUGGACAGAAGAUUGCUACGCUCCUUGCUGCGCACGCUCAGCUGAAGCCCGGCAAAGAUGUGGCCUCCAGACUUCCGGGCUGAGGGAACGGUGACGCUGGCGCUCCAGGACUGGGAGAGACGCGCCCCAGAGGGCGAGUCGCAGACGGAGUCGGCGACAGUGGUGCAGGGGACGACGACAGGGUCACCGUCGCAGUCGGAGCAGGCCUGACACUCCUGAAUCUCUUGGUUGAAGAAGUAGUCGUGGCCGCACAAGCCCGUCUCCGCUUCUCUUAGGGAUGCUCCCAGACACCGGAAGCCUCCUGAGGCCCCAGGAGAAAAUACCAUCAAGUCAUCGCAAAACAAUUCCUGGUGGUGAUUGUUGCCCGUUGACAAACCUGGAGUGUUCAGACAUUUGACUCGCACGCCGCAGACGUUUGCUACUUCGAGGCAUUCAUCUCUGUCCUGUGAAGCAAACGGUGAAGAGUAGACAUUGCGAAGUGGUACACAAGUUCAAGUCCUAUUUAUUUUUAUGAGGAAACUGUAAACGGUGAACUUCAUGUGACUGCUUGGUAGUUUUGUCUGAGGGGGUGGAACUUUGUCUCUCAGAUUGAAAGUAAAUUCCCUAUGUGUAUGGUACGCUCAGAAACUUCAACAACACGGUUAUGAUGAUGAUUAUUGCUGAUGGUGGCGGCUAACGAGCUAACGUAUCUUUACUAAUGUCCUUUACCAAAGUGAAAAUGCAAAGAACGAAUGAUGCACGUAAUAUGAAGGCUUGCCGGAGGUUUGUCUUGAAGGUCGUAAACUCUGCGAGUACCUGGCACACGGUGUCCGUGGUGGGCGAGCACUGCAAUAUGAGGAAGAAUCCCGGCGGACACACGGUGCACUUGUGGCACUGCGGCGGAUCACUCCGGAAGUCGCAGUAGUGGUCCGGCUGGCAGGCAGAGGGGCACCCCGACAGCUGCUGCGGGAAAAGAGCCGCGCCCGCCGCCUCCGUCACCUUGGCGUCCGUGUCCACCUUGUGGACGGCGUUGUGCAGGUGGCUGCGGGCCUGACUCUGGAGGCCCGCGAGGUGGGUACGGAAGUAGCUCUGCAGCUCCCCCCGCAGGUCUUGGAAAGACGCCCGCUUGAGCACGUCGGCCAGGAGGCCGUAGUGGGCCUCGACUGCUUCCAUCUGCUCGUACAUGCCGCGCUGCUGCGUCAGGAUGUCGCGCUGCUGCGACAGGAGCACCACCUGCUGGUCAGCCAGCUUCUGCUGCAACUCGCCGAUGAGGAUCUGCUGCGCCUGCAGAGCCUCCACCAACUUCUCCUGACCCUUAGCCAGCUGGAGGUGGAGGAUGAGGGCGUCCUCUGAGGGGACCUCAUUUUCUCCUGGGUGAGCUGGACACCCAGAGGCGCAUCACCGAGUUCUGAAGACUCGGGGAAGUCUCCCAGUAACUGCGCGGCUCUAUCGGCCAGAUGGACCGGGGGGGGCGGCGGCGAGCUCUCCACCGCGUCCCUGGACCGCCCUCGGGGUCUGAUGAUCCGCAGCGGGAGCCGACACUCCAACCCUUUGCAGUCCCGCGUCUGGUUGCCGGUCACGGGCGCCCUCACGCAGUCGGUGUCGCGGCACGGCGGGGCAACGGCCGCCGCGCUUCUCGGCCGGGGACUCCCCAAGGAGGGGGCGUGAUCCGGGCUGCCGGUCUGAGGGUGACGCGGCGGUCUGGACGACCCGCCCGCGGGACAGUGGUCACCGGUGCACGGUCGCGGGUCUCCGGUGCCGGAACACGAGCGGCGGCCCCCCUCGCACGAGUCAGCGUCCGCAGACGCCAGGACCAGUAGCAACAGCACCGACGACGUCGACGGCAUCUCGCGUCACGGACGACGGGCCGGUGAGCCUGGGCCCUGCCGCCAAUGGACAAAAUCUGUGAGUAAUUGACACCCCCAGAAUGGGUCAAAUGUACUGUAAUUACUUAUACAUGCCACAAGAUGGUGGGAAAGGACUACUUUUGUCUAAAUUAAGCUCCUCAACUCACUUCAGCACCAAGAUGCCACCAGAUGGCGCCAAAGCACUUGUGUUGUUGCUUUGCCCCUAGCACAAAAACAGUGAAUAGGUGAAGUUUUCAGUUUAUAAUCGAAUCGGACAAAUAUGCAGCGCUGCAUUAAGUUAGACUAUCAUGAGGAUUUUUCUUACACCGCAAGUAUAGAAUCUGUACUGAAAUAUGGGAUUACCUGUUGGUUUGCUAAUUUUGCACUUACAUUCUAAGAAUACAAUCUUUAGAUUCAUAAAACUAGCGGAAAAAUUCACCAGUCAUGUAAUACAUCAACAAAAGAAGGUGAAAAAAUCUUAUCGGAGUACAAAUGAUGAAAGUCUGUCCGAAGAUAUAAGGUACCAACCGCUGUGCAAAUAU